AAUUUGAAAGCUGGUACCUUCGGUGCCCGCGUUGUAAUCUCGAGACGCGUUUUCCGCGCGGCGCUAUGGACAAGUUCCUUGGAACAGGACAUCGUAGAGGGUGAAAAUCCCGUACUUGCCAUGGAUGCACCGUGCUUUGUGAUACGUGCUCAAAGAGUCGAGUUGUUUGGGAUUGCAGCUCAAAAUGGGUGGUAGACUCCAUCUAAAGCUAAAUAUCGGGGAGAGACCGAUAGCGAACAAGUACCGUGAGGGAAAGAUGAAAAGCACUUUGGAAAGAGAGUUAAAAGUACGUGAAAUUGUCGAAAGGGAAGCGCUUGAAGUCAGCCAUGCCGCUCAGGACUCAGCCUGGCUUUUGCUUGGUGUACUUCCUGGGUAGCAAGUCAGCAUUGGUUUGGACCGUCGGAGAAGCAUGGCAGGAAUGUGACGCCCUCGGGCGUGUUAUAGCCUGCCAUUGGA
Molecule: ribosomal RNA, 456 nt
Filed under: Malassezia japonica
Lineage: Eukaryota; Fungi; Basidiomycota; Malasseziomycetes; Malasseziales; Malasseziaceae
Description: LSU rRNA
Rfam family: Eukaryotic large subunit ribosomal RNA
Source: RNAcentral